UACGAAGGGGGCUAGCGUUGUUCGGAAUCACUGGGCGUAAAGGGCGCGUAGGCGGCUUAACAAGUCAGGUGUGAAAGCCCCGGGCUCAACCCGGGAAUUGCACUUGAUACUGUUUCGCUAGAGUCCGGGAGAGGAUGGCGGAAUUCCCAGUGUAGAGGUGAAAUUCGUAGAUAUUGGGAAGAACACCGGUGGCGAAGGCGGCCAUCUGGACCGGUACUGACGCUGAGGCGCGAAAGCGUGGGGAGCAAACAGGAUUAGAUACCCUGGUAGUCCACGCCGUAAACGAUGAGUGCUAGACGUCGGGGGGUUCACCUUCCGGUGUCGCAGCUAACGCCUUAAGCACUCCGCCUGGGGAGUACGGUCGCAAGAUUAAA
Molecule: ribosomal RNA, 374 nt
Filed under: uncultured bacterium
Lineage: Bacteria
Description: bacterial SSU rRNA
Rfam family: Bacterial small subunit ribosomal RNA
Source: RNAcentral